UUUUGUGGGGUGCUCGAGUGGCGAACGGGUGAGUAACACGUGAGUAACCUGCCCUUGACUUUGGGAUAACUUCAGGAAACUGGGGCUAAUACCGGAUAGGAGCUCCUGCUGCAUGGUGGGGGUUGGAAAGUUUCGGCGGUUGGGGAUGGGCUCGCGGCUUAUCAGCUUGUUGGUGGGGUAGUGGCUUACCAAGGCUUUGACGGGUAGCCGGCCUGAGAGGGUGACCGGCCACAUUGGGACUGAGAUACGGCCCAG
This 255-nucleotide ribosomal RNA is filed under the name uncultured Actinomycetales bacterium. RNAcentral describes it as "partial 16S ribosomal RNA". It matches the Rfam family "Bacterial small subunit ribosomal RNA", at positions 78 to 334 of the family's 1533-position model. The record is from RNAcentral. Lineage: Bacteria; Bacillati; Actinomycetota; Actinomycetes; Actinomycetales.